GUGCUCGCUUCGGCAGCACAUAUACUAAAAUUGGAAUGAUACAGAGAAGAUUAGCAUGGCCCCUGUGCAAGGAAGAAUCCUUAUUCUUGGGGAUCAUCCUGCUCUUU
Eptesicus fuscus (big brown bat) is the source of this 107-nucleotide small nuclear RNA. Lineage: Eukaryota; Metazoa; Chordata; Mammalia; Chiroptera; Vespertilionidae. The record is from RefSeq and is a predicted model, not a curated record.